This 499-nucleotide ribosomal RNA is filed under the name uncultured bacterium. RNAcentral's name for it is "partial 16S ribosomal RNA". It matches the Rfam family "Bacterial small subunit ribosomal RNA", at positions 28 to 507 of the family's 1533-position model. The record is from RNAcentral.
GAUGAACGCUGGCGGCGUGCCUAAUACAUGCAAGUCGAGCGAACAGACGAGAGUGCUUGCACUCUCUGACGUUAGCGGCGGACGGGUGAGUAACACGUGGGUAACCUACCUAUAAGACUGGGAUAACUUCGGGAAACCGGAGCUAAUACCGGAUAAUAUUUAGCUUCGCAUGAAGCAAUAGUGAAAGACGGUUCUGCUGUCACUUAUAGAUGGACCCGCGGUGUAUUAGCUAGUUGGUGAGGUAACGGCUCACCAAGGCAACGAUACAUAGCCGACCUGAGAGGGUGAUCGGCCACACUGGGACUGAGACACGGCCCAGACUCCUAUGGGAGGCAGCAGUAGGGAAUCUUCCGCAAUGGACGAAAGUCUGACGGAGCAAUGCCGCGUGAGUGAAGAAGGUUUUCGGAUCGUAAAACUCUGUUGUAAGGGAAGAACAAGUACGUUAGUAACUGAACGUACCUUGACGGUACCUUACCAGAAAGCCACGGCUAACUACGUG